RNAcentral lists this ribosomal RNA (472 nucleotides) under uncultured bacterium. RNAcentral's name for it is "bacterial SSU rRNA". It matches the Rfam family "Bacterial small subunit ribosomal RNA", at positions 355 to 825 of the family's 1533-position model. The record is from RNAcentral.
UGGGGAAUUUUGGACAAUGGGCGCAAGCCUGAUCCAGCCAUGCCGCGUGUGGGAAGAAGGCCUUCGGGUUGUAAACCACUUUUGUCAGGGAAGAAACGGUCCGAUCUAAUAAAUUGGACUAAUGACGGUACCUGAAGAAUAAGCACCGGCUAACUACGUGCCAGCAGCCGCGGUAAUACGUAGGGUGCGAGCGUUAAUCGGAAUUACUGGGCGUAAAGCGUGCGCAGGCGGUUUGGUAAGACAGAUGUGAAAUCCCCGGGCUUAACCUGGGAACUGCAUUUGUGACUGCCAGACUAGAGUGUAGCAGAGGGGGGUAGAAUUCCACGUGUAGCAGUGAAAUGCGUAGAUAUGUGGAGGAAUACCGAUGGCGAAGGCAGCCCCCUGGGCUAACACUGACGCUCAUGCACGAAAGCGUGGGGAGCAAACAGGAUUAGAUACCCUAGUAGUCCCUGAGCGGGCUGGCAAGGCGCAU